Molecule: ribosomal RNA, 262 nt
Filed under: uncultured Oxalobacteraceae bacterium
Lineage: Bacteria; Pseudomonadati; Pseudomonadota; Betaproteobacteria; Burkholderiales; Oxalobacteraceae
Description: partial 16S ribosomal RNA
Rfam family: Bacterial small subunit ribosomal RNA
Source: RNAcentral
CGCGGGGCAACCUGGCGGCGAGUGGCGAACGGGUGAGUAAUAUAUCGGAACGUACCCAAGAGUGGGGGAUAACGUAGCGAAAGUUACGCUAAUACCGCAUACGAUCUAUGGAUGAAAGUGGGGGAUCGCAAGACCUCAUGCUCCUGGAGCGGCCGAUAUCUGAUUAGCUAGUUGGUGAGGUAAAGGCUCACCAAGGCGACGAUCAGUAGCUGGUCUGAGAGGACGACCAGCCACACUGGAACUGAGACACGGUCCAGACUCC